This 72-nucleotide transfer RNA is filed under the name Fukomys damarensis (Damara mole-rat). It matches the Rfam family "tRNA". Rfam says of the family: Transfer RNA (tRNA) molecules are approximately 80 nucleotides in length. Their secondary structure includes four short double-helical elements and three loops (D, anti-codon, and T loops). Further hydrogen bonds mediate the characteristic L-shaped molecular structure. tRNAs have two regions of fundamental functional importance: the anti-codon, which is responsible for specific mRNA codon recognition, and the 3' end, to which the tRNAs corresponding amino acid is attached (by aminoacyl-tRNA synthetases). tRNAs cope with the degeneracy of the genetic code in two manners: having more than one tRNA (with a specific anti-codon) for a particular amino acid; and 'wobble' base-pairing, i.e. permitting non-standard base-pairing at the 3rd anti-codon position. Lineage: Eukaryota; Metazoa; Chordata; Mammalia; Rodentia; Bathyergidae. The record is from Rfam by way of RNAcentral.
GGGGGUAUGGCUCAGUAGCAGAGUGCUUGCUUAGCACAUGUGAGGUUCUGGGUUCAAACCCCAGCAUCACUA